This 735-nucleotide ribosomal RNA is filed under the name uncultured Fusobacterium sp. RNAcentral describes it as "bacterial SSU rRNA". It matches the Rfam family "Bacterial small subunit ribosomal RNA", at positions 28 to 776 of the family's 1533-position model. The record is from RNAcentral. Lineage: Bacteria; Fusobacteriati; Fusobacteriota; Fusobacteriia; Fusobacteriales; Fusobacteriaceae.
GAUGAACGCUGACAGAAUGCUUAACACAUGCAAGUCAACUUGAAUUUGGGUUUUUAACUUAGAUUUGGGUGGCGGACGGGUGAGUAACGCGUAAAGAACUUGCCUCACAGCUAGGGACAACAUUUAGAAAUGAAUGCUAAUACCUGAUAUUAUGAUUUUAAGGCAUCUUAGAAUUAUGAAAGCUAUAAGCACUGUGAGAGAGCUUUGCGUCCCAUUAGCUAGUUGGAGAGGUAACAGCUCACCAAGGCGAUGAUGGGUAGCCGGCCUGAGAGGGUGAACGGCCACAAGGGGACUGAGACACGGCCCUUACUCCUACGGGAGGCAGCAGUGGGGAAUAUUGGACAAUGGACCGAGAGUCUGAUCCAGCAAUUCUGUGUGCACGAUGAAGUUUUUCGGAAUGUAAAGUGCCUUCAGUUGGGAAGAAAUAAAUGACGGUACCAACAGAAGAAGUGACGGCUAAAUACGUGCCAGCAGCCGCGGUAAUACGUAUGUCACGAGCGUUAUCCGGAUUUAUUGGGCGUAAAGCGCGUCUAGGUGGUUAUGUAAGUCUGAUGUGAAAAUGCAGGGCUCAACUCUGUAUUGCGUUGGAAACUGUGUAACUAGAGUACUGGAGAGGUAAGCGGAACUACAAGUGUAGAGGUGAAAUUCGUAGAUAUUUGUAGGAAUGCCGAUGGGGAAGCCAGCUUACUGGACAGAUACUGACGCUAAAGCGCGAAAGCGUGGGUAGCAAACAGG